AAGUUCCUACGGGGCGCAGCAGUGAGGAAUAUUGGUCAAUGGGCGAGAGCCUGAACCAGCCAAGUCGCGUGAGGGAAGACGGUCCUAUGGAUUGUAAACCUCUUUUGUCGGGGAGCAAAAAGGCCUCGUGAGGCCACAAGUGAGAGUACCCGAAGAAAAAGCAUCGGCUAACUCCGUGCCAGCAGCCGCGGUAAUACGGAGGAUGCGAGCGUUAUCCGGAUUUAUUGGGUUUAAAGGGUGCGCAGGCGGGCCUUUAAGCCGGCGGUGAAAUCGCGGGGCUCAACCCCGCCGAGCCGUCGG
Molecule: ribosomal RNA, 300 nt
Filed under: uncultured bacterium
Lineage: Bacteria
Description: bacterial SSU rRNA
Rfam family: Bacterial small subunit ribosomal RNA
Source: RNAcentral